AGAGGUCGCUGCGAGACGGUACCCGCGCCCCACAGUCCACCCGCGCCUCGGAGUCCCCCCGCGCCCCGGAGUCCACCCGCGCCCCGGAGUCCACCCGCGCGGGUCCACUUCUCCAUCCCUGCUCUCGACCUCGGCCCCUGAGGCGGGGGAAGUUCCUGGGGCGGUGGCUGGGACCAGGCCGGGUUUUAGGAGGGCGGAGAUUUCCGGGCUAACUUUCCUCGCCGUCUCAGCGCGGGAAGGGGGAAAUGGGAAACCCGGGCGAGAGCAGCGGAGCUUCCCAGCCGCACACUUCCUCCCUCCAGCCGUUUGUCUCCGCAGGGGAGGGCCCUGGCAGCCAAGCCGGCAGCCCCACUGGUUAUCCGACCUUGUGCUCUGGCGGGGGGUGGAGACCUUACAUCCAGCUCAGAGCGCCUCCUCCCAUCCCCUGUGUCCUCUAGGCCUCCCCAGACUUUGCCUUUUAGCCUUCCAGUGAAACAAGUUCUGUAUCCAAGAUAUACAAUUAAGUGGACAAAGCAGAUUGCAGAAAGUCUUUUCGUAGCUCACAAGGGGACAUCAAAGAUGACAAAGAGGAGUGGAAGAAGACAGAGAGAAUCAAUGUGAGGAGCCUGGAACAGGGCUCUGAAUUGUCUUCCCACAAUGAAAUCACUUGGCUAUUGCUGAGCCACGAAUUUGACUCUGAGCAUCUAGGAUGAGAAAGAAGAAAUGGCACCUACACCAUCUCUGCCCCUCGGGACUGACUAUUUUGGCCCAGUUUCCUCAACAAUGAAAUGGGAAUAAUUAUCCCAGGUCGCAUUUCUCUAUGGGCUUACCCUGGGAAUCAAAUGAUUGAGCUUUGGAUCUCACCCUGUUGCCCAGGCUGGAAUGCAGUGAUAUGAUCAUGACUCACUGCAGCCUCAAACUCCUGGGUUCAAGUAACCCUCCCACCUCAGCUUUCUCAGUAACUGGGACUACAGAAUGCCCCACCCCACUUAGUCCAUAGUGAUGCCCACCUGUGGUUAAUGGAGCUGAGGCUGCUGGACCAAAGGGAGGAAGUCUGUCAGGCAUAUGUGGAACCCAAAAGAGGAACUUCAUCAACUGUCAUGGACAGCUCUGCCACUUUGUGACCCUGUGGAUUUUUUGGGAAGUGUUUUUGUGGUUCACCAGUCUCUCAUUAGGCAAGGCCACUUGUCCUGGGUUGGUCUUCUUCAUUGGUGGAAAGUACAGCUGGGAGAUUUGGAAUGGUUGCAGAUUGACUUGACUCUCGUCAGGAACUGCCACCAUGAGCUUCUGGGGAAAGACCUCAAGCUGUGGUGUAUUGCUGAGGAUUGUGGGAUUCCUCCAAAUCUUGGGGAACAUUUUGAGUCAUCACUGGCAGCCGAUUUCUGUUGACAACUUGAGCAACCUCAGAAUGAAGAAGCCGUCUUCAUCUCUCACAUGAGUAUGACUUUGGGUAAAUCAUCUUGAAAUCUGAACCCAUGGUUGUGAUCCGCACUCCUCCUGAGUUCUGAUUUUUAGUGUAACCUUUUUCUUCUCAUUUUUUCUUCUUUGUGCAUCUCUUAAGGAGGUUUUUAAAAUCUCAUAAUUAAAAAAUUUAUUUCUUC
This 1580-nucleotide non-coding RNA is filed under the name Pongo abelii (Sumatran orangutan). The record is from RNAcentral. Lineage: Eukaryota; Metazoa; Chordata; Mammalia; Primates; Hominidae.